This 582-nucleotide ribosomal RNA is filed under the name Trichoderma virens. Its description in RNAcentral is "eukaryotic LSU rRNA". The stretch from base 195 to 348 matches the Rfam family "5.8S ribosomal RNA". The record is from RNAcentral. Lineage: Eukaryota; Fungi; Ascomycota; Sordariomycetes; Hypocreales; Hypocreaceae.
CUCGAGCUAACUCCAACCCAUGUGACGUUACCAAACUGUUGCCUCGGCGGGAUCUCUGCCCCGGGUGCGUCGCAGCCCCGGACCAAGGCGCCCGCCGGAGGACCAACCAAAACUCUUAUUGUAUACCCCCUCGCGGGUUUUUUACUAUCUGAGCCAUCUCGGCGCCCCUCGUGGGCGUUUCGAAAAUGAAUCAAAACUUUCAACAACGGAUCUCUUGGUUCUGGCAUCGAUGAAGAACGCAGCGAAAUGCGAUAAGUAAUGUGAAUUGCAGAAUUCAGUGAAUCAUCGAAUCUUUGAACGCACAUUGCGCCCGCCAGUAUUCUGGCGGGCAUGCCUGUCCGAGCGUCAUUUCAACCCUCGAACCCCUCCGGGGGGUCGGCGUUGGGGAUCGGCCCUUUACGGGGCCGGCCCCGAAAUACAGUGGCGGUCUCGCCGCAGCCUCUCCUGCGCAGUAGUUUGCACACUCGCAUCGGGAGCGCGGCGCGUCCACAGCCGUUAAACACCCCAAACUUCUGAAAUGUUGACCUCGGAUCAGGUAGGAAUACCCGCCUGAACUUAAGCAUAUCAAUAAGGGAAAGGAAA